Molecule: ribosomal RNA, 368 nt
Filed under: uncultured bacterium
Lineage: Bacteria
Description: bacterial SSU rRNA
Rfam family: Bacterial small subunit ribosomal RNA
Source: RNAcentral
AGCGAACGCUGGCGGCAGGCUUAACACAUGCAAGUCGAGCGGGCGUAGCAAUACGUCAGCGGCAGACGGGUGAGUAACGCGUGGGAACAUACCUUUUGGUUCGGAACAACACAGGGAAACUUGUGCUAAUACCGGAUAAGCCCUUACGGGGAAAGAUUUAUCGCCGAAAGAUUGGCCCGCGUCUGAUUAGCUAGUUGGUGAGGUAACGGCUCACCAAGGCGACGAUCAGUAGCGGUCUGAGAGGAUGAUCAGCCACAUUGGGACUGAGACACGGCCCAAACUCCUACGGGAGGCAGCAGUGGGGAAUAUUGGACAAUGGGCGCAAGCCUGAUCCAGCCAUGCCGCGUGAGUGAUGAAGGCCCUAGGGU